This 497-nucleotide ribosomal RNA is filed under the name uncultured bacterium. Its description in RNAcentral is "partial 16S ribosomal RNA". It matches the Rfam family "Bacterial small subunit ribosomal RNA", at positions 28 to 507 of the family's 1533-position model. The record is from RNAcentral.
GAUGAACGCUGGCGGCGUGCCUAAUACAUGCCGGUCGAGCGAACGGACGAGAAGCUUGCUUCUCUGAUGUUAGCGGCGGACGGGUGAGUAACACGUGGAUAACCUACCUAUAAGACUGGGAUAACUUCGGGAAACCGGAGCUAAUACCGGAUGAUAUUUUGAACCGCAUGGUUCAAAAGUGAAAGACGGUCUUGCUGUCACUUAUAGAUGGAUCCGCGCUGCAUUAGCUAGUUGGUAAGGUAACGGCUUACCAAGGCAACGAUGCAUAGCCGACCUGAGAGGGUGAUCGGCCACACUGGAACUGAGACACGGUCCAGACUCCUACGGGAGGCAGCAGUAGGGAAUCUUCCGCAAUGGGCGAAAGCCUGACGGAGCAACGCCGCGUGAGUGAUGAAGGUCUUCGGAUCGUAAAACUCUGUUAUUAGGGAAGAACAUAUGUGUAAGUAACUGUGCACAUCUUGACGGUACCUAAUCAGAAAGCCACGGCUAACUACGUG